This is a non-coding RNA of Bos taurus (domestic cattle), 72 nucleotides long. The record is from Rfam. NCBI's taxonomy places the organism in Eukaryota, Metazoa, Chordata, Mammalia, Artiodactyla, Bovidae.
UCCAUAGUGGCUCAGAAGGUAAAGAAUCUGUCUGUAAUUCAGAAGACCCAGGUUUGAUCCCUGGGUAAGGAA